This 185-nucleotide ribosomal RNA is filed under the name Chloropicon mariensis. RNAcentral's name for it is "partial Bacterial large subunit ribosomal RNA". The record is from RNAcentral. Lineage: Eukaryota; Viridiplantae; Chlorophyta; Chloropicophyceae; Chloropicales; Chloropicaceae.
UGAGUGUUUUAGCUUCGUGGUGACACAGUGAGAUUGCCUGGCGCGGUGAUGGUUUACCGUGUUCAAGCCCCUAGCCUGUCUUCUAGGUCAAAUCCGGCAGACGCGUAUGGUGAGAGGUGAUGGUGGGGCCCGUUUAGGGCCGAUAACAGGGUUGGUCUGUACUGUCGAGAAAAGCUGCGUUGUGA